AUAUAUAUAUAUAUAUAUAUAUGUAUGUAUAUAUAUGUAUAUGUAUAUGUAUGUAUAAAAUAUCAAUGUGCAUACUUAGAUCUUGUUUGCUGACUUAAAUACGUUGAACUAUAAUAUGACAAUUGUUGGAAAAUGCGCUUAAAAUUUUAUGUAGAAAUUCACAAGUCGCCUUCAAAGAUUAAGAAAUAUAAUUUAUAUGAUAUAGAGAUAGAUAUAUUUUAUGAGAAACAAGAGAUAUAUAUUAUAUAUGUCGAUAUAUUCGAUGAAAAUAUGUGAUAUGUGUAUAAAAAUAAUGACCGAUUUUUUUUAGAACUCCAAAAUCGUUGUUUAAAUUAAAUCGACGGACGUAAUGACUAAAAAUCUUUCUACUUACUACACACAUCGGAAUUUUAUAUAUUAAUAUUUACGAUCUUCAUAUUUUGACAAUUGUUCCAUUCGAAAAAAUUACAUUACGCUGCGUGAAACGGUUUGUAGACAUUUGUUUAUUUUAUGGCUUUUUAAUACAUUCAAGUGUUUAACACAUUCAGCUUAGUACUAAUGAGCAUUGAACGUCAACAUGACGAAUUUGUUAAGUACCCUGGUGAAAACUUUUCUUAAUUUUGUAUAUAAUUUUUUAAAGAAUUUCUGCUUAAUUUUAUAACCCAGAAAAUUUUGAGAUUUUUUAUACAAAUUAGAAUAUUCUUCAGAAAUAAUAAGAAAGUCUACAUCUAUUUUUGAAUUCUUUAUAUAUGUAAAUUCUCAAAAAUUUAUAAAACUUGUCAUUGUCUAAAAUUUCCCCCAAAAACUUAUAAAAUUUGAACAAAAAUUUAAGCUAUUUUUUUGGAAGUGAUAAGUUUAAAAUAUGAAAAAUUCUUACAAAAAGUAUUACAAGAGAAUUUUUUCACUAGGGUAAUUUAUAUAUUCUAUUUUUUAGCGUUGUUACGUCGAUCGAAAUUAAAUUCAAUAACAUCAUGUUAAAUCUUAUUCACAGGAAUUAUAAUAUCAAUAUUUAACUGCAAUUUAUACAGUCUUUCCACUGUUACAAAGUAUUUCUCUGAAUUAUCUGUCGAUACACACAAAUAAAGAAAUAGAAAGUUACUGUUAUUCGGUAGAUAUAUCCUCAUAUCAUUUAACUGAAUAAUAAAUGUUAUAUAAUUACAUAAAUACAUGUAAAUAUUAUGCAAAAAAUUGCAAUGAUUACAAAAUCACCGUCCUAAUCCCGUCUUCUCUUCUUAAAAACUCUGUAUGUAAUAUAUGUAUAAUAGUAAAUAUGAUAGUAUUAUAUAAAGUGGACACGACAAAUAAACAGCAAUAAAAUGUUUCGAAAAAACUAAUUUCUAUUUCUCUAAAUACGUUUACAAUUAUUGUUUUAAAGAAAGAAAAAUAUUUUGUCGCAUAAAUUUAUAUAUCUUAAAGCGUUUUGUAAUAACCACUUGAUUGUAAUGCCAGCUGGCAAAUGGAUUACUUAGUAGUUUUAUGUUAAUAAUUAUGACGACGAAGAAAUCGUCCUCGCUUGAAACUCACUCUGAAUCGCGAUGAUAUGAAAUCCAAGACUGGUGUAUACAGUAGAAUCCACUGAUUAAUGCCCGAUUUCUUCACGUCCAGUUAUCUUGCGGUUAAAAUUAUCCAGGAGAUAAACUUUCAGAUCCAUGCACGUGAUUGGUUAAACUUGAUAUUUAUCCUCCGGAUAACUUUAUCAGGAAGUGAAGCCAUGAAAUAUCACGUUAACCUCGAAAUCACACGGUGUUCUCUUAUCUUACAAAUGUUACAAAUAAUGUAAAUAAACGAGACAUAAAUAUUAACAUAAAACUACUGUAAUCCGUUUGCCAGCUGAUAUUACAAUCAAGUGGAUUGUCGUGAUACAAAGAUGUUGACUGUUGCAAUAAAACGUGACUUGCUGUUCGAAACAUUGGGUAAAACAUAUUCUCAUUUUACAUAUUAGACAAACAUCAUGCUCUGACUGAAUGUCAAUGAAGCGAAUUGAGAAGGAGUGUGUUUGUUUGAAGACAAUGAAAAAGCAAAUGAUAGCAAGAGUAGUUUUGACCAAGGUAUAGAUGCAUCCGAAGAAAUUAUCUACAAGAUUGACACGCCUGCCAACAGAUAUUAUCUGUUGUGCUUGGAGCCUAAGUACUGGACUACUUAUAUUUUUGAACAAAACAUACAAAAGAACUGCAAUUGGUAAUAAAAAGCAACACACAUAAUGCAAAUUACACAAGAACUGCAUAAAGGAUAUGUGCCAGGACUCUUUAAAUUUCACUUUUUAAAUGUUCCUUCACCUAUGGCUGAAUGCCUAUAUAUAAAGUCUUUUUUUCUAAACAUGAUGUUCAUUCCACAUUAUAUGGCAAUAAAACCAAAGGAAUGGAAAAGAUUAUAAUGACUUCAGAAUGCUUAAAAAUAAGAGGACAUUUGGUUGUUUCAAUUUUGAGAGACGUUACUUUGACGCAAGAUUCUUACAAUAAUUUUAUUGAUCUUCAAGAUAAGUUGCAUCAAAAUAUAGGAAGAAGACAGUCUGGUCUCUAUUGGCACUUAUGAUUUGGAUACAAUUAAAGGUCCAUUUCUAUAUGGUGCUAGACACCAUCAAAAAUACAGUUCAAACCACUCAAUCGAGAUAAGCAGUUUUCACUAAACAAGUUGACUGACUUGAUUCGAAUAGAAAGGGCCCAGACAGGAUUCACUGAGGCAUUGACUUUCUCUUUGUGCUCACGUGAGAAUGUAGCGGACAAAUUGGGAUACGAAAUAGAAGAUGUACCGGCAGUUCACAUAUCCAAUCCAAAAACUUUGGAGUUUCAAAUAAAUCGACCGAUACCGCGCGGUUUUAUUAAAACCUCGGAAACAAGUAGUUCUAUUCUUGAUUUCUCUUUUUUAUUUGAAACAAUACAUGUGUGUAAUAGAACGUAAACAGAUAUCGUUAUGCGUUUAAAUAAAAAAAAAUUGACAAAGAA
Molecule: unclassified non-coding RNA, 2921 nt
Filed under: Monomorium pharaonis (pharaoh ant)
Lineage: Eukaryota; Metazoa; Arthropoda; Insecta; Hymenoptera; Formicidae
Description: uncharacterized LOC105828458, transcript variant X5
Source: RNAcentral